UAAUACGGAGGGUGCAAGCGUUAAUCGGAAUUACUGGGCGUAAAGCGUGCGUAGGCGGUUUAUUAAGUCAGAUGUGAAAGCCCCGGGCUUAACCUGGGAACUGCAUUUGAAACUGGUCGACUAGAGUAUGGUAGAGGAGAGUGGAAUUUCUGGUGUAGCGGUGAAAUGCGUAGAUAUCAGAAGGAACAUCAAUGGCGAAGGCAGCUUUCUGGACCAAUACUGACGCUGAGGUACGAAAGCGUGGGUAGCAAACAGGAUUAGAUACCCUGGUAGUCCACGCCGUAAACGAUGAUAACUAGCCGUUGGGGGGAUUUACCCUUUAGUGGCGAAGCUAACGCGUUAAGUUAUCCGCCUGGGGAGUACGGCCGCAAGGUUA
Molecule: ribosomal RNA, 376 nt
Filed under: uncultured Gammaproteobacteria bacterium
Lineage: Bacteria; Pseudomonadati; Pseudomonadota; Gammaproteobacteria
Description: bacterial SSU rRNA
Rfam family: Bacterial small subunit ribosomal RNA
Source: RNAcentral